This 497-nucleotide ribosomal RNA is filed under the name uncultured bacterium. Its description in RNAcentral is "partial 16S ribosomal RNA". It matches the Rfam family "Bacterial small subunit ribosomal RNA", at positions 28 to 507 of the family's 1533-position model. The record is from RNAcentral.
GACGAACGCUGGCGGCGUGCCUAAUACAUGCAAGUUGAGCGCUGAAGGUUGGUACUUGUACCAACUGGAUGAGCAGCGAACGGGUGAGUAACGCGUGGGGAAUCUGCCUUUGAGCGGGGGACAACAUUUGGAAACGAAUGCUAAUACCGCAUAAAAACUUUAAACACAAGUUUUAAGUUUGAAAGAUGCAAUUGCAUCACUCAAAGAUGAUCCCGCGUUGUAUUAGCUAGUUGGUGAGGUAAAGGCUCACCAAGGCGAUGAUACAUAGCCGACCUGAGAGGGUGAUCGGCCGCAUUGGGACUGAGACACGGCCCAAACGCCUACGGGAGGCAGCAGUAGGGAAUCUUCGGCAAUGGACGAAAGUCUGACCGAGCAACGCCGCGUGAGUGAAGAAGGUUUUCGGAUCGUAAAACUCUGUUGGUAGAGAAGAACGUUGGUGAGAGUGGAAAGCUCAGCAAGUGACGGUAACUACACAGAAAGGGACGGCUAACUACGUG